UGAUGGAGGGACGCAGUUUGGUAGGUCAGCCCCUUAUUGGAUUGGGGUGCUAAACGUCUAGGAUAAUGAUGGGCAUAGGAAAAUCCGUACCCUGAAUCUGAAGCGUGAUGGCGGUGCCUAUAGAGCCAGAAGUGAUUGAGCCAAGCUGCCAAGAAAAUCUUCUAAACGUUGAUAUUUAAGUGACCGUACCGCAAACCGACACUGGUAGGUGGGUAGAGUAUACCAAGGGGAUCGAGAGAACCUUCGUUAAGGAAUUCGGCAAAAUUCCCCCGUAACCUCGGGAGAAGGGGGGCCUCUGCUGGUUAGCAAUUAAGCGAAGCUGGUGGGGGCCGCAGAGAAAUGGCUUCUUCAACUGUUUAACAAAAACACAGGUCUCUGCUAAGUCGAAAGACGAUGUAUAGGGGCUGACGCCUGCCCAGUGCUGGAAGGUUAAGGGGAGAGGUUAGCGUAAGCGAAGCUUUGAACCGAAGCCCCAGUGAACGGCGGCCGUAACUAUAACGGUCCUAAGGUAGCGAAAUUCCUUGUCGGGUAAGUUCCGACCCGCACGAAUGGCGUAAUGAGAGAAGCACUGUCUCAACGAAGGACUCGGCGAACAUUGAAGUACGUGUAAAGAUGCGCGUUACCCGCAGCUGGACAAAAAGACCCCGUGAAGCUUUACUACAGCUUGGCACUGAGUUAGGGCUUAGUUUGUGUAGGAUAGGUGGGAGGCUUUGAAGCUGGGACGCUAGUCUCGGUGGAGCCACCGUUGAAAUACCACCCUGGCUAAGUUUUGGCUCUAACCUGCAACCGUUACCCGGUGUGGGAACAGUGCCUGGUGGGUAGUUUGACUGGGGCGGUCGCCUCCGAAAGAGUAACAGAGGCGCCCAAAGGUUCGCUCAGGCUGAAUGGAAACCAGCCGUAGAGUGUAAAGGCACAAGCGAGCUUGACUGCAAGACAUACGAGUCGCGCAGGGACGAAAGUCGGGCUUAGUGAUCCCACGAUUCCGAGUGGAAGGGUCGUGGCUUACCGGAUAAAAGCUACUCCGGGGAUAACAGGCUAGUCUGGUCCAAGAGUUCACAUCGACGACCAGGCUCGGCACCUCGAUGUCGGCUCAUCGCAUCCUGGGGCUGGAUAAGGUCCCAAGGGUUGGGCUGUUCGCCCAUUAAAGCGGUACGUGAGCUGGGUUCAGACCGUCGUGAGACAGGUCGGUCCCUAUCCGCUGUGGGCGUAAGGGAUUUGAGAGGAGCUGCCCCUAGUACGAGAGGACCGGGGUGGACAGACCUCUAGUGUGCCAGUUGUCGUGCCAACGGCAUUGCUGGGUAGCUACGUCUGGCAGGGAUAACCGCUGAAAGCAUCUAAGCGGGA
RNAcentral lists this ribosomal RNA (1344 nucleotides) under metagenome. Its description in RNAcentral is "bacterial LSU rRNA". It matches the Rfam family "Bacterial large subunit ribosomal RNA", at positions 1462 to 2790 of the family's 2925-position model. The record is from RNAcentral.